This 1239-nucleotide ribosomal RNA is filed under the name uncultured bacterium. RNAcentral's name for it is "bacterial SSU rRNA". It matches the Rfam family "Bacterial small subunit ribosomal RNA", at positions 295 to 1533 of the family's 1533-position model. The record is from RNAcentral.
AGUGGUAGUUAGGUCACAGCCGAUUCCGUACGUCCGAAGGGAAUACGCAAUCGAGUGGACCGGCCGAAUCUACGAGGCAGCAGUGGGAAUGCAUGAGCAAGCUGAUCAGCAUGCGCGUGUGGAGGAGCCUCGGGUUGUAAGCACUUUCAGUGGGAAGAGAGCUCGCGGCUAAUUUCGCGAGGACGACAUCACCCACAGAGAAGCACCGGCUAACUCGUGCAGCAGCGCGGUAUACGGAGGGUGCGAGCGUUAAUCGGAAUUACUGGGCGUAAAGCGCGCGUAGGUGGCUUGAUAAGCCGGUUGUGAAAGCCCCGGGCUCAACCUGGGAACGGCAUCCGGAACUGUCAGGCUAGAGUGCAGGAGAGGAAGGUAGAAUUCCCGGUGUAGCGGUGAAAUGCGUAGAGAUCGGGAGGAAUACCAGUGGCGAAGGCGGCUUCUGGACUGACACUGACACUGAGGUGCGAAAGCGUGGGUAGCAAACAGGAUUAGAUACCCUGGUAGUCCACGCCGUAAACGAUGUCGACUAGCCGUUGGGUCCUUCGCGGACUUUGUGGCGCAGUUAACGCGAUAAGUCGACCGCCUGGGGAGUACGGCCGCAAGGUUAAAACUCAAAUGAAUUGACGGGGGCCCGCACAAGCGGUGGAGCAUGUGGUUUAAUUCGAUGCAACGCGAAGAACCUUACCUACCCUUGACAUCCUGCGAACCCUUCGGAGACGAAGGGGUGCCUUCGGGAACGCAGAGACAGGUGCUGCAUGGCUGUCGUCAGCUCGUGUUGUGAAAUGUUGGGUUAAGUCCCGUAACGAGCGCAACCCUUGUCCUUAUUUGCCAGCGAGUAAAGUCGGGAACUCUAAGGAGACUGCCGGUGACAAACCGGAGGAAGGUGGGGACGACGUCAAGUCAUCAUGGCCCUUACGGGUAGGGCUACACACGUGCUACAAUGGUCAGUACAAAGGGUUGCGAACUCGCGAGAGCAAGCCAAUCCCAGAAAGCUGAUCUCAGUCCGGAUCGGAGUCUGCAACUCGACUCCGUGAAGUCGGAAUCGCUAGUAAUCGUGAAUCAGAAUGUCACGGUGAAUACGUUCCCGGGCCUUGUACACACCGCCCGUCACACCAUGGGAGUGGACUGCACCAGAAGUGGUUAGCCUAACCUUCGGGAAAGCGAUCACCACGGUGUGGUUCAUGACUGGGGUGAAGUCGUAACAAGGUAACCAAUCUCUAGAGGUCCCCCCGAUCCGGUCCU